GGAUGGCUGUUUAACAGUAUUUAUCCCAGUGUUGGUUCUGUCUGUCGGUUACUAAUUCAAUUGUAUACAGAGGUCGUUCUCACACCCGGGGCACAGGGAUACGUACUCUCCAAUAUAGUCGGUACUUUUAGGGUGAAGUUACAUAACAAGGAAUAACGCUUUGUUUAAUUUCUGAUAGGGCACGUUGAAUAACUCAACAAGCACGCAUUGCGAGAAUCGACAGGUCAUUUCUGGUGCUGGCUUCACGUUUGAAAUGGAUACCCCAGAGUUACCUGUCGAGGUUGUGUAAUAACAGAAUUCUUGUGUGCAUCCUGAGCUUCCUGCAAGGACCAGACAGAAAGGAGGCCUCACUGGUCUGCAAGAUCUGGUACUUAGCUUCCCAGGACUGGCAGUGUAAGGUCCCUGGCCGUGCUGGCGGAGGAGUGCAAGGUGCUCAAGAGCCUGGACGUGUCCAUGUGUAAAGGUUAAUGUGUAAAGGUUUCCAUGGCAGCGGUCGAGCUCCUCCAAUCACAGCUCCCCAGCCUGGAGAACACCUACACUCUCUCUGUGGGUGGGGCUGACCUUUCCUUCACCCUCUGAGGAGGACACCGGUCACUGGGAAGAGAGGAGGAGCCCAGGGUCCAGACAGGCUGCAGGGGAACCUGGACGUACCCCACCUACUGGAACUGCACAGCUGCUUGCUGGGUGUUAGGGGACUGGGGUGCUGUGCUGUUGGUGUAUUGGGGUAAUCCAGAGUAACUCCAGCCUCCAUAAUCUAUCUGGAAGUGCCAGUCUUUUACACAGGAUCCUACAAGAAGAAUGUGUUUUGUCGCAGGUAGCCAUGCUGUCCCAACCCAGCUUGCGUACGGACUUCAUGUACAGUAACAAUUCAACAUGCCUGCCAAUAACUCCACCUCAGCUCUGCAUCAGAACACAGAGGCGCUCUUUCUCUCUCUCUAUAGAUAUAGGUAUAGAUAUGUAGAAUUGGGCUUUACAAGCGCAGCACUGAUAUAUAAAAAAGGGAUUUUCUACUGCCGCAAUACACUUGCAGGAAGUGUCCAGCUUUCCCUGUGGUGCUGAGAGGACACUAUUCAAAUCACAUCUCCUUUUGUUUAGUACACCAAACAUUUUUCAUUUGAAAUUGCCCACGCAAACCUGGUCUCAGGACAGCAGAGGUUAAGUGCUUAAAUAGAUGUCUUUACAAAGCAUUAUCAUACCAAGAAUAAGAAACAAUAAUUAAGAAAUAAAAAAAACAUAUCUUUCAGGGAUGUAGAGAAUUGGGGUUUACUUCAUUGUU
This is a long non-coding RNA of Acipenser ruthenus (sterlet), 1276 nucleotides long. RefSeq lists it as uncharacterized. Lineage: Eukaryota; Metazoa; Chordata; Actinopteri; Acipenseriformes; Acipenseridae. The transcript has 3 exons. The record is from RefSeq and is a predicted model, not a curated record.